RNAcentral lists this ribosomal RNA (492 nucleotides) under uncultured bacterium. Its description in RNAcentral is "partial 16S ribosomal RNA". It matches the Rfam family "Bacterial small subunit ribosomal RNA", at positions 29 to 507 of the family's 1533-position model. The record is from RNAcentral.
AGUGAACGCUGGCGGUAGGCCUAACACAUGCAAGUCGAACGGCAGCACAGUAAGGGCUUGCUCUUACGGGUGGCGAGUGGCGGACGGGUGAGGAAUAUAUCGGAAUCUACUUUUUCGUGGGGGAUAACGUAGGGAAACUUACGCUAAUACCGCAUACGACCUACGGGUGAAAGCAGGGGAUCUUCGGACCUUGCGCGAUUGAAUGAGCCGAUGUCGGAUUAGCUAGUUGGCGGGGUAAAGGCCCACCAAGGCGACGAUCCGUAGCUGGUCUGAGAGGAUGAUCAGCCACACUGGAACUGAGACACGGUCCAGACUCCUACGGGAGGCAGCAGUGGGGAAUAUUGGACAAUGGGCGCAAGCCUGAUCCAGCCAUACCGCGUGGGUGAAGAAGGCCUUCGGGUUGUAAAGCCCUUUUGUUGGGAAAGAAAAGCAGCAGGUUAAUACCCCGCUGUUCUGACGGUACCCAAAGAAUAAGCACCGGCUAACUUCGUG